ACUUGGGUGCUGCAUUUGAAACUGGAUAUCUAGAGUGCAGGAGAGGUAAGUGGAAUUCCUAGUGUAGCGGUGAAAUGCGUAGAGAUUAGGAAGAACACCAGUGGCGAAGGCGACUUACUGGACUGUAACUGACACUGAGGCAUGAAAGCGUGGGUAGCAAACAGGAUUAGAUACCCUGGUAGUCCACGCCGUAAACGAUGAGUACUAGGUGUAGGAGGUAUCGACUCCUUCUGUGCCGCAGUUAACACAAUAAGUACUCCGCCUGGGAAGUACGAUCGCAAGAUUAAAACUCAAAGGAAUUGACGGGGGCCCGCACAAGCAGCGGAGCAUGUGGUUUAAUUCGAAGCAACGCGAAGAACCUUACCUGGACUUGACAUCCCCUGAAUAGUGCAGAGAUGCAUGAAGCCUUUCGGG
This 414-nucleotide ribosomal RNA is filed under the name uncultured bacterium. RNAcentral's name for it is "bacterial SSU rRNA". It matches the Rfam family "Bacterial small subunit ribosomal RNA", at positions 612 to 1024 of the family's 1533-position model. The record is from RNAcentral.